AGGUGUCUAGACACUUGUAGGAUAGGAUUUGUUUUUGAAAAAAAAAAAGUAAAAGGAAAAUAAGGAAUGGGCGGCUGAAGGAUAGAGGGGAGGCAAGGAAAAAGGGGGAGCCGAAGGGAGGAAAUAGAGGAAAGAGGCUAAGGAGGGGGCUAGUAAGGGUUGACGGAAAAAGAAAAAUUCUGGGGAGGGACGGCUGAAAGAUAUGGUGAACGGCUGAGAGGAAGGAACGGAUAAAGAAAAGAAACUGAGAGCAAUAGUAGAGGCUGAAAGAGAGGUGGACAGCUAAAAAACUUUAGGCAAAAAUCUAAGUAGUGGUUGCGGAAUCAGGAGGAGAGAAUUUGUUGGGGGAAAUCUGUUGGCAGCUAAGGGAAGGAAAGAAACAAGAAGGCUACGGGGUUUCUUAGGGAGGAGAUGGUCUGACGACUAAAAAAAAUCUGAGGGAGAAGGAAAGAAAAGCUGGGCAAAGGUGACGGCUGAAGGUGAGAUAGAGUGAGAGAGAGAGAGGUUCUAGAAGGGCUGAGUGAAAGUAGGAAACCAACGGGAACAAGUAAGAACAAAGAGAGAAGGAGAGAGAUUUUUUUUUUUCCAGAAAAACCUGCAAAACAGGCUGAUUAUCCGGCCAAUUUGGGAGUGAAUUUCUUGUUAGUUUCAAGCUGGUUUGGGGAUUCCUUUUGUUUCUGUACUUUUUCUGGUUGUAGAAGAGCAAGUCUCCUUCAGGAAAUCUGUCGUAAAAACGCCAUUAAAGCCUUCAUAUUCGAGGCUGAAAUCCCAGGCUCGCGUUUCGUCAUCAAAGUCUGCAGUUGGUUUCUUUUGAUUUCUGGGGAGUACGAUCACUUCCUUGCGGGUUCCUGCUAAGGAUUCAAGUGUAGAGGAAGUGAAACAAGUAAUAUUCAACCUUUUUGCUCGUCGUUUUAAUCUCAGACGGAACCAAAUCCGCUAAGCUGAAAUCUGGUCCUUUGGUUCAUUUGCUGGGUCUCUGCUAAACCAAUAUGCAUCAACCUCGCGUCUGAUUGGGUUGAAACUAGAUGCUCAUGGUUGCUGUUUUCUUGCCGUUUCUCCCUUGUUUGGUAGCUUUGUUGAGUUUUGCCGGCUCAUGUUGCUGUUUUCUUGCCGUUUUCUUGUUGUUUUCUUGUCGUUCAUUUUGCUGCAACUUUGGUAGCUUAGUUGAGUUUCUUUUGGUCACUCUGUUGAUGGUUAGUUCUUGUUAAAAUGGCAUGCUUAGUUUUCUUUCUUGCCCUAUGAUUGAAUGUGCAAUAGAUCUGAGUAGCUGAAAGUUAUGUAAAUGGCGGCUGCCAAUUUGCAGAAAGAAACCCAGCAAGUGAGGAAGAAAACUAUCGAGCCUCAUGUAUGAAAAUUCCAGAAAUUACAUUUUAACCUCCCAAGUCCAGUUUUGCUCUUCUAUGGCCCAAAAAUUGGGGAAUUUGAUCGAUUGGGUCCCAUAAAAAAUGUUAUUUUCGAUUGACAUGUUUUGUUUGUGGUUCUUGGGCAGAUUUUUAUUGGAUCUUAAGAUAAAUUUUGGAGUUUAAUAGUUUUUUGAGAAAUUUGAUAGAAUUAUAAUCUUGACUUGAAUUUUAGUAGAUUUUUGAGUGAUUUUGUUGUCUAAUUAUAGCAAAUAGGGUUUUCUUUUAUUUUCUGUGAAUUUUAUCAUUUUGGUUUGGUAUAUUUCCCCUUAAGCCUUUAAUUUUACUUUAUUACAUUUUAGCCCCCUAAUAUUACUAAUAAUGAUGGUUUGCCCCCUAAAACUUCUUUAAUCUUUUAAAUGGGUCCUUAAUUGAUGAAUAGGAGUUGUUCAAUUCAUUUGAAUGCUUUGAUUGAUUCAAUUUCAUGUUUAUUUCCAUUUUACAUGUGAUUAUUUGUUAAUUAAAGUGAUGUCUUGACCUUUUUAUUAUUUUGGAGGGUAAAUAAGUAAUUUCACUCCAUUAGGGUUCCAACUCCAAGAGAGGUACAUUCUAUCCCUAUUUUUUUACCUUAUUUGACCCUAUGUGCAUCUACGUGGCUUAUGUGUGUAAUUGCAUGACUUUGAGUGUUUAUUUCAUUUUCAUUUUAUUCAUUUCUUUUGUUAUUUAAUUUUACCUUAAUCUUAGUUCAAUUUUGAUUAUUUGGGGGCAUUUAAAUGCCGUUUUUGUAAUAGAUAGGGUUCCAUCAUAUGCUCAAGACAUGUUUUAGCUAGGAAAUGUAAUCCAAGGCAUUUUGAUUCGUGGCGAAGUUCUGUAUUCUAGAUAGUGACUGUAAUAGUUAGGAAUCUACUUUUCCAAGCUUUCCUCCCUUCUAGAUGGUUUAGGCCUCCUCAAUGUAAUAGAUAGGGUUUAUGUGCUAUGUGCUUGUGCAUGCCUAUAUGCUAUGUGUGACGCCCCCGCUUCUCUUUAA
RNAcentral lists this long non-coding RNA (2367 nucleotides) under Coffea arabica (coffee). RNAcentral's name for it is "long non-coding RNA (CARA_LNC004745)". The record is from RNAcentral. Lineage: Eukaryota; Viridiplantae; Streptophyta; Magnoliopsida; Gentianales; Rubiaceae.